This 465-nucleotide ribosomal RNA is filed under the name uncultured bacterium. Its description in RNAcentral is "bacterial SSU rRNA". It matches the Rfam family "Bacterial small subunit ribosomal RNA", at positions 338 to 795 of the family's 1533-position model. The record is from RNAcentral.
CCUACGGGGGGCUGCAGUGGGGAAUUUUGGACAAUGGGCGAAAGCCUGAUCCAGCAAUGCCGCGUGCAGGAAGAAGGCCUUCGGGUUGUAAACUGCUUUUGUACGGAACGAAACGGUCUGCUUUAAUACAGUGGGCUAAUGACGGUACCGUAAGAAUAAGCACCGGCUAACUACGUGCCAGCAGCCGCGGUAAUACGUAGGGUGCGAGCGUUAAUCGGAAUUACUGGGCGUAAAGCGUGCGCAGGCGGUUAUAUAAGACAGUUGUGAAAUCCCCGGGCUCAACCUGGGAAUUGCAUCUGUGACUGUAUAGCUAGAGUACGGUAGAGGGGGAUGGAAUUCCGCGUGUAGCAGUGAAAUGCGUAGAUAUGCGGAGGAACACCGAUGGCGAAGGCAAUCCCCUGGACCUGUACUGACGCUCAUGCACGAAAGCGUGGGGAGCAAACAGGAUUAGAUACCCCAGUAGUC